GUGGGGAAUAUUGGACAAUGGGGGGAACCCUGAUCCAGCCAUGCCGCGUGUGUGAAGAAGGCCUUUUGGUUGUAAAGCACUUUAAGCGAGGAGGAGGCUACCGAGAUUAAUACUCUUGGAUAGUGGACGUUACUCGCAGAAUAAGCACCGGCUAACUCUGUGCCAGCAGCCGCGGUAAUACAGAGGGUGCAAGCGUUAAUCGGAUUUACUGGGCGUAAAGCGCGCGUAGGUGGCCAAUUAAGUCAAAUGUGAAAUCCCCGGGCUUAACUUGGGAAUUGCAUUCGAGACUGGUUGGCUAGAGUAUGGGAGAGGAUGGGAGAAUUCCAGGUGUAGCGGUGAAAUGCGUAGAGAUCUGGAGGAAUACCGAUGGCGAAGGCAGCCAUCUGGCCUAAUACUGACACUGAGGUGCGAAAGCAUGGGGAGCAAACAGGAUUAGAAACCCCAGUAGUCC
RNAcentral lists this ribosomal RNA (451 nucleotides) under uncultured bacterium. RNAcentral's name for it is "partial 16S ribosomal RNA". It matches the Rfam family "Bacterial small subunit ribosomal RNA", at positions 354 to 796 of the family's 1533-position model. The record is from RNAcentral.